This 482-nucleotide ribosomal RNA is filed under the name uncultured bacterium. RNAcentral's name for it is "partial 16S ribosomal RNA". It matches the Rfam family "Bacterial small subunit ribosomal RNA", at positions 30 to 507 of the family's 1533-position model. The record is from RNAcentral.
AUUGGACGCUGGCGGCAUGCCUUACACAUGCAAGUCGAACGGUAACGGGCCUUCGGGUGCCGACGAGUGGCGAACGGGUGAGUAAUACAUCGGAACGUGCCCGAUCGUGGGGGAUAACGAGGCGAAAGCUUUGCUAAUACCGCAUACGAUCUACGGAUGAAAGCAGGGGACCGCAAGGCCUUGCGCGGACGGAGCGGCCGAUGGCAGAUUAGGUAGUUGGUGGGAUAAAAGCUUACCAAGCCGACGAUCUGUAGCUGGUCUGAGAGGAUGAUCAGCCACACUGGGACUGAGACACGGCCCAGACUCCUACGGGAGGCAGCGGUGGGGAAUUUUGGACAAUGGGCGCAAGCCUGAUCCAGCCAUGCCGCGUGCAGGAUGAAGGCCUUCGGGUUGUAAACUGCUUUUGUACGGAACGAAAAGCCUUCUUUUAAUACAGGAGGGUCAUGACGGUACCGUAAGAAUAAGCACCGGCUAACUACGUG